Molecule: non-coding RNA, 24 nt
Filed under: Arabidopsis thaliana (thale cress)
Lineage: Eukaryota; Viridiplantae; Streptophyta; Magnoliopsida; Brassicales; Brassicaceae
Source: RNAcentral
AGCCGAUGGGCGUUCUAGUGUUAC